GCAAGUCGAACGAGAACGGAUCCUUCGGGACCUGAGUAAAGUGGCGCACGGGUGAGUAACGCGUGGACAACCUACCCUUGAAUUUGGGAUAACCUCGCGAAAGCGGUGCUAAUACCGAAUAACAUCAAGAGUACUCAGGUAUUUUUGAUCAAAGAUGGCCUCUCCCUGGAAGCUAUUGUUUGAGGAUGGGUCCGCGUGCCAUUAGCUAGUUGGUGAGGUAAAGGCCUACCAAGGCAACGAUGGUUAGCUGGUCUGAGAGGAUGAUC
This 266-nucleotide ribosomal RNA is filed under the name uncultured bacterium. RNAcentral describes it as "partial 16S ribosomal RNA". It matches the Rfam family "Bacterial small subunit ribosomal RNA", at positions 57 to 305 of the family's 1533-position model. The record is from RNAcentral.